UCCCUGGUAGCUCAGAUGGUAAAGCGUCUGCCUGCAAUGUGGGAGACCUGGGUUCGAUCCCCGGGUUGGGAA
Molecule: transfer RNA, 72 nt
Filed under: Ovis aries (sheep)
Lineage: Eukaryota; Metazoa; Chordata; Mammalia; Artiodactyla; Bovidae
Rfam family: tRNA
About the family: Transfer RNA (tRNA) molecules are approximately 80 nucleotides in length.
Source: Rfam by way of RNAcentral